GUAAAAUUAUCUGGUAUUGGACUAAGACAACAAAGUAGGGCACAGUGCCCCUUAAUUAAUCACUUAUAAUAAAGGUUUAAAUGCUGAAUUUUUUGAAAGUGCCAGAGUGGCAACUGGCAGGCUAUAUACUGAAAAGGUAUAGGUUGUGCACAUGCAUCCUAAAUAAACACUGCUACAAAAACUUGGUAGUUAACAGUUAAAAGUUAAAACCAAUUCAUUAUUUCAAAGUAUAUAAAACAAAACAAGUCGGGAAAAUGAUUUUGAACCCAAGAUAUGAGACAAAAUUACAGUAUGAGAAUGAGUUUGAAUAUAAAGAACAACAAAAACGAGGAUACAAAACUACUGUGAUAUUGUUGAAAUUAGCAAUAUUACAUUUACACAUUUGCUGUUUAUAACUGUAGUUUUUGACAUAAUGUAUUUAUGCUUUUCCAUCGAAAUGGCAAGCCAAAUUUGCCCCAAGCAGCCCAAGCUUUG
This is a non-coding RNA of Paramuricea clavata, 474 nucleotides long. The record is from the annotation of a GenBank genome assembly. NCBI's taxonomy places the organism in Eukaryota, Metazoa, Cnidaria, Anthozoa, Malacalcyonacea, Plexauridae.